AUUGAACGCUGGCGGCAUGCCUUACACAUGCAAGUCGAGCGGCAGCACGGGUGCUUGCCCCUGGUGGCGAGUGGCGAACGGGUGAGUAAUACAUCGGAACAUGUCCUGUAGUGGGGGAUAGCCCGGCGAAAGCCGGAUUAAUACCGCAUACGAUCUACGGAUGAAAGCGGGGGACCUUCGGGCCUCGCGCUAUAGGGUUGGCCGAUAGCUGAUUAGCUAGUUGGUGGGGUAAAGGCCUACCAAGGCGACGAUCAGUAGCUGGUCUGAGAGGACGACCAGCCACACUGGGACUGAGACACGGCCCAGACUCCUACGGGAGGCAGCAGUGGGGAAUUUUGGACAAUGGGCGAAAGCCUGAUCCAGCAAUGCCGCGUGUGUGAAGAAGGCCUUCGGGUUGUAAAGCACUUUUGUCCGGAAAGAAAUCCUUGGCUCUAAUACAGUCGGGGGAUGACGGUACCGGAAGAAUAAGCACCGGCUAACUACGUG
Molecule: ribosomal RNA, 486 nt
Filed under: uncultured bacterium
Lineage: Bacteria
Description: partial 16S ribosomal RNA
Rfam family: Bacterial small subunit ribosomal RNA
Source: RNAcentral